This 73-nucleotide transfer RNA is filed under the name Marmota monax (woodchuck). RNAcentral describes it as "tRNA.Gly". The record is from RNAcentral. Lineage: Eukaryota; Metazoa; Chordata; Mammalia; Rodentia; Sciuridae.
UGAGGAUGUAGCUUAGUGGUAGGGUGCUUACCCACCAUGAAUGAGGCCCUGGGUUCAAUUCCAAGCAGCUCAA